RNAcentral lists this ribosomal RNA (460 nucleotides) under uncultured bacterium. Its description in RNAcentral is "partial 16S ribosomal RNA". It matches the Rfam family "Bacterial small subunit ribosomal RNA", at positions 338 to 795 of the family's 1533-position model. The record is from RNAcentral.
CCUACGGGAGGCAGCAGUGAGGAAUAUUGGUCAAUGGACGAAAGUCUGAACCAGCCAAGUAGCGUGAAGGAUGACUGCCCUAUGGGUUGUAAACUUCUUUUAUAUGGGAAUAAAAUGUUCCACGUGUGGGACUUUGUCUGUACCAUAUGAAUAAGGACCGGCUAACUCCGUGCCAGCAGCCGCGGUAAUACGGAGGAUCCGAGCGUUAUCCGGAUUUAUGGGGUUUAAAGGGAGCGUAGGUGGAGUGUUAAGUCAGUUGUGAAAGUUUGCGGCUCAACCGUGAAAUUGCAGUUGAAACUGGCAGUCUUGAGUACAGUGGAGGUAGGCGGAAGUCGUUGUGUAGCGGUGAAAUGCUUAGAUAUGACGAAGAACUCCGAUUGCGAAGGCAGCUUACUGGACCGCAACUGACACUGAGGCUCGAAAGUGCGGGUAUCAAACAGGAUUAGAUACCCGAGUAGUC